AAAGGAAUAUAGAAAAUGUAAUAAAUGUUCUGAUCACAAAUUCCAAAAUGUUCCGACCCCUAAUUUCUGAUAGGGGUCAUUGUUUCUGAGAUUAGAUAAUUACAUAAAAACAAAAACUGAAUUCCUAAAACUUAUUCCACUCUGCUACUCUGGGACAAAGCACAAGUAAGACAACCUGAAGAAUCAAAUGAUCAUAAAUCUCCAACUUCAUCAUUGACUUUUUUCUCACAUAAUGCUUCUUCAACAACCAACUCAUGCUCAAAGGAUUGAUCAUGAAAAUCAUGUGUUGGUGAGUGGUCUCCAUCUUCAAACUGACAAAUAGAUUUCCUAUUUUUGAUCAAGAGAUACAAAAGGUAUUCUAGAAGCUCCUUCUCCUUUGGGUUUGUUUCAUUCACUUCAUCAAGUUGAUUCUUAAUAGUUGCUUUCUCUACUAAGAUUGAUAAUGCAGAUUUGAUCUCCAAUCUAGAAGUUGCAAUCUGUAUAGCUUCAAGUUCUUCCUUUUCCAUAGAAGCUUUAUCUGAGAAAUUCUUCUCAAACAGUGAAAGUAGUACCUUCCUAGCCUCUUCUUCUGUAAAUUCCAGGGAAAAUUUUGCACUCCUAAGGUCAUGUAGUAUUGCAGAUAUCUGUAUUCCAAUUCCCAGUCUCAGAUAUUACCAAGUUUCAAAAAUCACAAGUCACACUAAUACAAAGAAAAAUCUUAAAUUUGUUUACAUAAACUUCUCUAUGAACUAGAAAAGAAAAUACAAAUGAAGAAUUAAAACUAAAACUUAUGCUUAUCUCCUUUAUUACUUCUUCUAAAACUAUAGUUUUAAUUCAAUAAGUGUUUCAUAAGAAGUUAACUCAAACAUAUUCAUGUUAUGCAGAUGCAAGAGGCUAAUCAAAAAGUGUAACCAACCUUAUCAGCCAAGGGUAUUGUAACUGCACCUUGAAUCUCUGUCAAGUACAGCUCAAAAGCGUUUCUUAGUUUUUGACAUUUUGAAAGUAUCCUGCGGGAUGUGAUUGCCUAAGCAGUUUGUAAUCCAGGUUAGUCAUUUCAGACCAACAUUUCAAAGCAUGAACAGUGUAAAGUAUUCAAAGAUUAUGGCAGACAAUUUAUACGUAUCAAACUAAUUUUGAAUUGAUCUAUCAGUAUCAUCAGAGUGAAGGUUUCAAGUUCAAAAGGGUGCCUACCAGAUUCAAUAUCUAAAAUUAUAAGUGAAAUUCUAUCGAUGAGUCUUUGAAGCUCUAAGCACAAAGAAUGGUGUACCUGCACAAAUGAAAAUAUGAAUGAAGUGUAAAAUCACAUAAAGGUUUCUAUCUAUUAUACCUAUGUUUUACAUAAUUUCAUCUCAUGUAACACUUCCUCAAUAAACAAAAUAAUUGAUCAGCUAGUUUAGCUGCACUUAUUCAGCAUCUUGAAAGAGAACCUUACUAUUACUAACAGAACACUGCUAUUUCUGUAAUCAGAUGAACUUUUUUC
Molecule: small RNA, 1459 nt
Filed under: Vigna angularis var. angularis
Lineage: Eukaryota; Viridiplantae; Streptophyta; Magnoliopsida; Fabales; Fabaceae
Description: Non-protein coding transcript
Source: RNAcentral